This is a long non-coding RNA of Cryptotermes secundus, 1256 nucleotides long. RefSeq lists it as uncharacterized. NCBI's taxonomy places the organism in Eukaryota, Metazoa, Arthropoda, Insecta, Blattodea, Kalotermitidae. The transcript has 4 exons. The record is from RefSeq and is a predicted model, not a curated record.
UCAUCGAGUGUGUAGGUUAGGUGGGGUAUCUGCUCAGUUAUACUUCGCAUGCACAACUUUUCGCAUCGCGGUGAUGGUUUGCAUUUUCAUGGUUAGUUCGAGAUUGUGCAUUGUGAUUUAAAAUAGGAAACUGACUUCGGAAGUGACAAUUGCGUGUGUGUUUUUUUUUUCGUUUCCGGGUUAUUUGUGAACAGAAAAUACAACGAAAUAUUGUAUUACUGGUUUCCUUUUAUGUACAAAGAGCAGUUCAUUGCUGUUCCAGCUGGGGCAUAGAAUUCGAAACUGCUAGCCCGUGAAUUAGACGUAGUUGAACAAGUAGUGUAGGUUGCUCAGUUUAUUGCAUUCUGUUUAAACCGAAGCACUGUAUGUGUGAAUGAUACAGUUUGCCAUUACGUAUAAGAAUAAACAGGAAUUUGUGAAAGUGUUGUGGCGUUAUCAAGAACUGUGCAUCAAAUACAGCAUCUAGUAAAUACACAGUGGAAAAUCCGGCAUUCAGGCGAGUGCAUCAUUAUGAACGAUCAAUGAUGGUUGGACUGUCUAUUUUACGUUGGCGCCAAUGAUUGCUGGAGGUGGUCUUCCGAAAACAGCUGCAUUCCUUGUUGCCAUCAGAAGAAUUUGGGAGCGUUGGUGCUGAGCUCUAGUCGCUCACGGAUGAGGUCGCGUGUGUGUACAGUCAAGACACCUGUGUAUAAACACUACAAAUGCACGAACAUACGUAAUAUUAGUGUAAGCGGUGGCGAUUCACUCUUGUGUUUGCGGUAAAUUUGUGAAGAUGGCAACACCACUUGAUACAUCUUGUGCCUGUUUCGUAGUGCAGGUGCUAAUAAUUCUCCUCGCCCUAACGUCAUUCGCAGCUUUGGAAGAUGGAUAUCUUCUUGAAGACACUCUGCAUUCGCCUACUUCUUCUUCUGGCGGAGACCUCCACCAGUCGGUUCCUCUUCCUGUGUUUCUCGAGGAGCCCACAGACUCCUACGUUAUCAAGAACAAACCGGCUACAUUACAAUGCCGAGCCGCCCACGCCUUGCAGGUGUACUUCCGGUGCAAUGGCGCCAGGAAACAGCAUUCAUCUUCAGCCAACUCACCACCAAUGCAGCAAGACUUUGUAGACCCCCAGACGGGAGUUCGUAACGUCGAGGCGUCUAUCAAUAUUACGCGUAAUGAAGUGGAGGAAUAUUUUGGGAAAGACAAAUUUAAAUGUGAAUGCAUCGCGUGGUCCAGCAGAGGGCAGAUCCGCAGCCAGCCAGCCGCCGUUGAUG